RNAcentral lists this ribosomal RNA (484 nucleotides) under uncultured bacterium. Its description in RNAcentral is "partial 16S ribosomal RNA". It matches the Rfam family "Bacterial small subunit ribosomal RNA", at positions 30 to 507 of the family's 1533-position model. The record is from RNAcentral.
AUUGAACGCUAGCGGGAUGCUUUACACAUGCAAGUCGAACGGCAGCGCGGACUUCGGUCUGGCGGCGAGUGGCGAACGGGUGAGUAAUGUAUCGGAACGUGCCCAGUAGCGGGGGAUAACUACGCGAAAGCGUAGCUAAUACCGCAUACGCCCUACGGGGGAAAGCAGGGGAUCGUAAGACCUUGCACUAUUGGAGCGGCCGAUAUCGGAUUAGCUAGUUGGUGAGGUAACGGCUCACCAAGGCGACGAUCCGUAGCUGGUUUGAGAGGACGACCAGCCACACUGGGACUGAGACACGGCCCAGACUCCUACGGGAGGCAGCAGUGGGGAAUUUUGGACAAUGGGGGCAACCCUGAUCCAGCCACCCCGCGUGUGCGAUGAAGGCCUUCGGGUUGUAAAGCACUUUUGGCAGGAAAGAAACGUCGCGGGCUAAUACCCCGUGGAACUGACGGUACCUGCAGAAUAAGCACCGGCUAACUACGUG